UACGUAGGUGGCAAGCGUUGUCCGGAAUUAUUGGGCGUAAAGCGCGCGCAGGCGGUUUCUUAAGUCUGAUGUGAAAGCCCACGGCUCAACCGUGGAGGGUCAUUGGAAACUGGGAAACUUGAGUGCAGAAGAGGAAAGUGGAAUUCCACGUGUAGCGGUGAAAUGCGUAGAGAUGUGGAGGAACACCAGUGGCGAAGGCGACUUUCUGGUCUGUAACUGACGCUGAGGCGCGAAAGCUAGGGGAG
This 245-nucleotide ribosomal RNA is filed under the name uncultured Bacillaceae bacterium. RNAcentral's name for it is "partial 16S ribosomal RNA". It matches the Rfam family "Bacterial small subunit ribosomal RNA", at positions 524 to 768 of the family's 1533-position model. Lineage: Bacteria; Bacillati; Bacillota; Bacilli; Caryophanales; Bacillaceae. The record is from RNAcentral.